GCUGGCUGGAUGACCGCUGCCGCUACGCCCGAAAGGGUGCGGGGGAGGAAAGUCCGGGCUCCAUGGAAACACGGUGCCGGGUAACGCCCGGCGGGGGCGACCCCAGGGAAAGUGCCACAGAAAUGAUACCGCGGAUCCGGGCUUCGGCCUGACGCAAGGGUGAAAAGGUGCGGCAAGAGCGCACCGCGUGCUCAGCAAUGAGGACGGCAUGGCAAACCCCACCGGGAGCAAGACCGAAUAGGGGUGGCGCGGCGGCCGCAAGGCCGCCAGGGACGUUUCCGUUCCAGCCACCCGGGUAGGUUGCGAGAAGCGUCCGGCGACGGGCGUUCCAGAUGAAUGGUCAUCCAGUGCGGGGCAACCCGCAGGGACAGAACCCGGCUUACAGGCCAGCUGG
This 394-nucleotide RNase P RNA is filed under the name uncultured Aestuariivirga sp. RNAcentral describes it as "Bacterial RNase P class A". It matches the Rfam family "Bacterial RNase P class A". Rfam says of the family: Ribonuclease P (RNase P) is a ubiquitous endoribonuclease, found in archaea, bacteria and eukarya as well as chloroplasts and mitochondria. Its best characterised activity is the generation of mature 5'-ends of tRNAs by cleaving the 5'-leader elements of precursor-tRNAs. Lineage: Bacteria; Pseudomonadati; Pseudomonadota; Alphaproteobacteria; Hyphomicrobiales; Aestuariivirgaceae. The record is from RNAcentral.